CUGAAUUCACUCUUAAGCUUCAUUAGAGCUGACAGGAACUGCUCAGUAAGUGAUCAGCAUCUUCUCAGAGUGCAUAACGAUGCUGUGAAACUGCAGAGACAGUCAGCAGAUGGUGUCUCCGCUCCGGAAAAAUCUACCCUUUGGCCUCCGAAUCCGUCCCGUCCAAUCAGGAGCGUCAGAUCCCUGUUGGGUGCGCUGGGCCCCCUCCCGCCCCGGCAUCUGGUCCAGCGAUGGAAAUAAUGAAAGAUCCCAAAGAGGAGCAGAGAGGAGAUUUUAGGAAAGCUUUGGAGGCUUAAUUCCUCUGUGGCACCCUGGGGGCUGAAGGACGCCGGACCAAAGGGCUUGAAAUGGUUCAAAGAUGAAUGAGUGACUGUGCUUUCAAUUCCCAGAGGUUUGUUUUUGCAGUGUCAGGGUUUUAUUGCAGCUAUAACAAGCUAAGAUGUGACAGAGUAGUGAAUGAAAGAGAGUUCAGAUCACUCUAA
Long non-coding RNA from Eleginops maclovinus (Patagonian blennie), 482 nucleotides. RefSeq lists it as uncharacterized. The transcript has 3 exons. The record is from RefSeq and is a predicted model, not a curated record. Lineage: Eukaryota; Metazoa; Chordata; Actinopteri; Perciformes; Eleginopidae.